This 394-nucleotide ribosomal RNA is filed under the name uncultured bacterium. RNAcentral's name for it is "partial 16S ribosomal RNA". It matches the Rfam family "Bacterial small subunit ribosomal RNA", at positions 523 to 918 of the family's 1533-position model. The record is from RNAcentral.
AUACGUAGGGGGCAAGCGUUAUCCGGAAUUAUUGGGCGUAAAGAGUGCGUAGGUGGUUACCUAAGCAGGGGGUGAAAGGCACUGGCUUAACCAAUGUCAGCCCCCUGAACUGGGCUACUUGAGUGCAGGAGAGGAAAGUGGAAUUCCUAGUGUAGCGGUGAAAUGCGUAGAUAUUAGGAGGAACACCAGUGGCGAAGGCGACUUUCUGGACUGUUACUGACACUGAGGCACGAAAGUGUGGGGAGCAAACAGGAUUAGAUACCCUGGUAGUCCACACCGUAAACGAUGAGCACUAGGUGUCGGGGGAGCAAUCCUUCGGUGCCGCAGUUAACGCAUUAAGUGCUCCGCCUGGGGAGUACGUACGCAAGUAUGAAGCUCAAAGGAAUUGACGGGG